GGUAGUGUGGCUCAGUAGUGAAGGACUUAGACUCUGGAUUUAACUUGCCUGGGUUCAAAUCUUGGCUCUGCCA
RNAcentral lists this transfer RNA (73 nucleotides) under Pteropus alecto (black flying fox). It matches the Rfam family "tRNA". From Rfam's summary of the family: Transfer RNA (tRNA) molecules are approximately 80 nucleotides in length. Their secondary structure includes four short double-helical elements and three loops (D, anti-codon, and T loops). Further hydrogen bonds mediate the characteristic L-shaped molecular structure. tRNAs have two regions of fundamental functional importance: the anti-codon, which is responsible for specific mRNA codon recognition, and the 3' end, to which the tRNAs corresponding amino acid is attached (by aminoacyl-tRNA synthetases). tRNAs cope with the degeneracy of the genetic code in two manners: having more than one tRNA (with a specific anti-codon) for a particular amino acid; and 'wobble' base-pairing, i.e. permitting non-standard base-pairing at the 3rd anti-codon position. The record is from Rfam by way of RNAcentral. Lineage: Eukaryota; Metazoa; Chordata; Mammalia; Chiroptera; Pteropodidae.